CCUACGGGAGGCAGCAGUGGGGAAUAUUGGACAAUGGGCGAAAGCCUGAUCCAGCCAUGCCGCGUGUGUGAAGAAGGCCUUCGGGUUGUAAAGCACUUUCAGUGGGGAAGAAAGCCUUGGGGCUAAUACCCUCGAGGAAGGACAUCACCCACAGAAGAAGCACCGGCUAACUCCGUGCCAGCAGCCGCGGUAAUACGGAGGGGUGCGAGCGUUAAUCGGAAUUACUGGGCGUAAAGCGCGCGUAGGCGGUCUGAUAAGCCGGUUGUGAAAGCCCCGGGCUCAACCUGGGAACGGCAUCCGGAACUGUCAGGCUAGAGUGCAGGAGAGGAAGGUAGAAUUCCCGGUGUAGCGGUGAAAUGCGUAGAGAUCGGGAGGAAUACCAGUGGCGAAGGCGGCCUUCUGGACUGACACUGACGCUGAGGUGCGAAAGCGUGGGUAGCAAACAGGAUUAGAUACCCUUGUAGUC
RNAcentral lists this ribosomal RNA (466 nucleotides) under Vreelandella stevensii. RNAcentral's name for it is "partial 16S ribosomal RNA". It matches the Rfam family "Bacterial small subunit ribosomal RNA", at positions 338 to 795 of the family's 1533-position model. The record is from RNAcentral. Lineage: Bacteria; Pseudomonadati; Pseudomonadota; Gammaproteobacteria; Oceanospirillales; Halomonadaceae.